RNAcentral lists this ribosomal RNA (305 nucleotides) under uncultured bacterium. Its description in RNAcentral is "partial 16S ribosomal RNA". It matches the Rfam family "Bacterial small subunit ribosomal RNA", at positions 508 to 807 of the family's 1533-position model. The record is from RNAcentral.
ACAGCAGUAGCCGCGGUAAUACGAAGGGGGCUAGCGUUGCUCGGAAUCACUGGGCGUAAAGGGUGCGUAGGCGGGUUUUUAAGUCAGAGGUGAAAUCCUGGAGCUCAACUCCAGAACUGCCUUUGAUACUGAAAGUCUUGAGUAUGGGAGAGGUGAGUGGAACUGCGAGUGUAGAGGUGAAAUUCGUAGAUAUUCGGAAGAACACCAGUGGCGAAGGCGGCUUACUGGCUCAUACUGGACGCUGAGGUGCGAAAGCGUGGGGAGCAAACAGGAUUAGAUACCCCUGUAGUCCCUGUCUCUUAUAC